Molecule: ribosomal RNA, 660 nt
Filed under: uncultured Bacillus sp.
Lineage: Bacteria; Bacillati; Bacillota; Bacilli; Caryophanales; Bacillaceae
Description: bacterial SSU rRNA
Rfam family: Bacterial small subunit ribosomal RNA
Source: RNAcentral
AUGAACGCUGGCGGCGUGCCUAAUACAUGCAAGUCGAGCGAAUGGAUUGAGAGCUUGCUCUUAUGAAGUUAGCGGCGGACGGGUGAGUAACACGUGGGUAACCUGCCCAUAAGACUGGGAUAACUCCGGGAAACCGGGGCUAAUACCGGAUAAUAUUUUGAACUGCAUGGUUCGAAAUUGAAAGGCGGCUUCGGCUGUCACUUAUGGAUGGACCCGCGUCGCAUUAGCUAGUUGGUGAGGUAACGGCUCACCAAGGCAACGAUGCGUAGCCGACCUGAGAGGGUGAUCGGCCACACUGGGACUGAGACACGGCCCAGACUCCUACGGGAGGCAGCAGUAGGGAAUCUUCCGCAAUGGACGAAAGUCUGACGGAGCAACGCCGCGUGAGUGAUGAAGGCUUUCGGGUCGUAAAACUCUGUUGUUAGGGAAGAACAAGUGCUAGUUGAAUAAGCUGGCACCUUGACGGUACCUAACCAGAAAGCCACGGCUAACUACGUGCCAGCAGCCGCGGUAAUACGUAGGUGGCAAGCGUUAUCCGGAAUUAUUGGGCGUAAAGCGCGCGCAGGUGGUUUCUUAAGUCUGAUGUGAAAGCCCACGGCUCAACCGUGGAGGGUCAUUGGAAACUGGGAGACUUGAGUGCAGAAGAGGAAAGUGGAUUCC